AUGACCUCCUCCUUGGCUGAAGAUUCUGCCUUUAUUGGCUCGAAUGUCAAUGUGUUCAACGUUCAGAGAUGCCCCAAACCUCCUUGUGUGCAAAAGCAGGCACUGGAAGAAUACCAACAGAUGUAAGAAGAAUCUCAGUGAGGUAUACUGAUAAAGGAGCGGAGUCUGACAACUGUAUGGUUUUGGAGCACAGGAGUGAAAUCUCUCUGGAAGUCUUGGAAACACCAUGCAUUUCACAACAGAAUUUGCACGGCUUCAUGCAAACGGAAAACGGGCCUGCUGUGCUAAAUGGGCACUCCCAGUGUAGGCACAAGGAGAAGCCUUUUGAAAGUCAUCUUCUGGUGAACUAG
This 350-nucleotide long non-coding RNA is filed under the name Dromaius novaehollandiae (emu). RNAcentral describes it as "lncRNA (ENSDNVG00000003761.1)". Lineage: Eukaryota; Metazoa; Chordata; Aves; Casuariiformes; Dromaiidae. The record is from RNAcentral.